Molecule: ribosomal RNA, 2900 nt
Filed under: Escherichia coli
Lineage: Bacteria; Pseudomonadati; Pseudomonadota; Gammaproteobacteria; Enterobacterales; Enterobacteriaceae
Description: 23S ribosomal RNA
Rfam family: Bacterial large subunit ribosomal RNA
Source: RNAcentral
UUAAGCGACUAAGCGUACACGGUGGAUGCCCUGGCAGUCAGAGGCGAUGAAGGACGUGCUAAUCUGCGAUAAGCGUCGGUGAGGUGAUAUGAACCGUUAUAACCGGCGAUUUCCGAAUGGGGAAACCCAGUGUGUUUCGACACACUAUCAUUAACUGAAUCCAUAGGUUAAUGAGGCGAACCGGGGGAACUGAAACAUCUAAGUACCCGAGGAAAAGAAAUCAACCGAGAUUCCCCCAGUAGCGGCGAGCGAACGGGGAGGAGCCCAGAGCCUGAAUCAGUGUGUGUGUUAGUGGAAGCGUCUGGAAAGGCGCGCGAUACAGGGUGACAGCCCCGUACACAAAAAUGCACAUAUUGUGAGCUCGAUGAGUAGGGCGGGACACGUGGUAUCCUGUCUGAAUAUGGGGGGACCAUCCUCCAAGGCUAAAUACUCCUGACUGACCGAUAGUGAACCAGUACCGUGAGGGAAAGGCGAAAAGAACCCCGGCGAGGGGAGUGAAAAAGAACCUGAAACCGUGUACGUACAAGCAGUGGGAGCCUCUUAAUGGGGUGACUGCGUACCUUUUGUAUAAUGGGUCAGCGACUUAUAUUCUGUAGCAAGGUUAACCGAAUAGGGGAGCCGAAGGGAAACCGAGUCUUAACUGGGCGUUAAGUUGCAGGGUAUAGACCCGAAACCCGGUGAUCUAGCCAUGGGCAGGUUGAAGGUUGGGUAACACUAACUGGAGGACCGAACCGACUAAUGUUGAAAAAUUAGCGGAUGACUUGUGGCUGGGGGUGAAAGGCCAAUCAAACCGGGAGAUAGCUGGUUCUCCCCGAAAGCUAUUUAGGUAGCGCCUCGUGAAUUCAUCUCCGGGGGUAGAGCACUGUUUCGGCAAGGGGGUCAUCCCGACUUACCAACCCGAUGCAAACUGCGAAUACCGGAGAAUGUUAUCACGGGAGACACACGGCGGGUGCUAACGUCCGUCGUGAAGAGGGAAACAACCCAGACCGCCAGCUAAGGUCCCAAAGUCAUGGUUAAGUGGGAAACGAUGUGGGAAGGCCCAGACAGCCAGGAUGUUGGCUUAGAAGCAGCCAUCAUUUAAAGAAAGCGUAAUAGCUCACUGGUCGAGUCGGCCUGCGCGGAAGAUGUAACGGGGCUAAACCAUGCACCGAAGCUGCGGCAGCGACACUAUGUGUUGUUGGGUAGGGGAGCGUUCUGUAAGCCUGUGAAGGUGGCCUGUGAGGGUUGCUGGAGGUAUCAGAAGUGCGAAUGCUGACAUAAGUAACGAUAAAGCGGGUGAAAAGCCCGCUCGCCGGAAGACCAAGGGUUCCUGUCCAACGUUAAUCGGGGCAGGGUGAGUCGACCCCUAAGGCGAGGCCGAAAGGCGUAGUCGAUGGGAAACAGGUUAAUAUUCCUGUACUUGGUGUUACUGCGAAGGGGGGACGGAGAAGGCUAUGUUGGCCGGGCGACGGUUGUCCCGGUUUAAGCGUGUAGGCUGGUUUUCCAGGCAAAUCCGGAAAAUCAAGGCUGAGGCGUGAUGACGAGGCACUACGGUGCUGAAGCGACAAAUGCCCUGCUUCCAGGAAAAGCCUCUAAGCAUCAGGUAACAUCAAAUCGUACCCCAAACCGACACAGGUGGUCAGGUAGAGAAUACCAAGGCGCUUGAGAGAACUCGGGUGAAGGAACUAGGCAAAAUGGUGCCGUAACUUCGGGAGAAGGCACGCUGAUAUGUAGGUGAAGCGACUUGCUCGUGGAGCUGAAAUCAGUCGAAGAUACCAGCUGGCUGCAACUGUUUAUUAAAAACACAGCACUGUGCAAACACGAAAGUGGACGUAUACGGUGUGACGCCUGCCCGGUGCCGGAAGGUUAAUUGAUGGGGUUAGCGGUAACGCGAAGCUCUUGAUCGAAGCCCCGGUAAACGGCGGCCGUAACUAUAACGGUCCUAAGGUAGCGAAAUUCCUUGUCGGGUAAGUUCCGACCUGCACGAAUGGCGUAAUGAUGGCCAGGCUGUCUCCACCCGAGACUCAGUGAAAUUGAACUCGCUGUGAAGAUGCAGUGUACCCGCGGCAAGACGGAAAGACCCCGUGAACCUUUACUAUAGCUUGACACUGAACAUUGAGCCUUGAUGUGUAGGAUAGGUGGGAGGCUUUGAAGUGUGGACGCCAGUCUGCAUGGAGCCGACCUUGAAAUACCACCCUUUAAUGUUUGAUGUUCUAACGUGGGCCCCUUACCGGGGUUGCGGACAGUGUCUGGUGGGUAGUUUGACUGGGGCGGUCUCCUCCUAAAGAGUAACGGAGGAGCACGAAGGUUGGCUAAUCCUGGUCGGACAUCAGGAGGUUAGUGCAAUGGCAUAAGCCAGCUUGACUGCGAGCGUGACGGCGCGAGCAGGUGCGAAAGCAGGUCAUAGUGAUCCGGUGGUUCUGAAUGGAAGGGCCAUCGCUCAACGGAUAAAAGGUACUCCGGGGAUAACAGGCUGAUACCGCCCAAGAGUUCAUAUCGACGGCGGUGUUUGGCACCUCGAUGUCGGCUCAUCACAUCCUGGGGCUGAAGUAGGUCCCAAGGGUAUGGCUGUUCGCCAUUUAAAGUGGUACGCGAGCUGGGUUUAGAACGUCGUGAGACAGUUCGGUCCCUAUCUGCCGUGGGCGCUGGAGAACUGAGGGGGGCUGCUCCUAGUACGAGAGGACCGGAGUGGACGCAUCACUGGUGUUCGGGUUGUCAUGCCAAUGGCACUGCCCGGUAGCUAAAUGCGGAAGAGAUAAGUGCUGAAAGCAUCUAAGCACGAAACUUGCCCCGAGAUGAGUUCUCCCUGACUCCUUGAGAGUCCUGAAGGAACGUUGAAGACGACGACGUUGAUAGGCCGGGUGUGUAAGCGCAGCGAUGCGUUGAGCUAACCGGUACUAAUGAACCGUGAGGCUUAACCU